CUAUACCUGCUUGAAAGUAAGCUAACACAUUAUCCCUUCCCCAAAGCCCUUAAAGUCUAAGAGAAUAUAAGAUUGGCACCCAGCUUUCGAAACGGCUGCUACUUAUUACUUUACUGCCUAAACUCAGUUGCUUGUUUAGUUCUAGAAAUAAAUGAGUAUUCUAGGAGUAGGAGCAAACAGGUCUAUGGUUAUGAGGCAUCAAUGCACUAUAAGAGCCGAUAGAUAGCAACAUAGGGGCGAUUCUUAUCCAUUCAAUAUGUUUACUAUGGCUUAGACGACGAGAAAGAGGCCUCAACCACCUUUUGAAGCUUCAGUAUUGGGUGCUAGUGUUGUGGUGUUGUAAGAAUCCGAGUCUAUUCCUGUUUUACUUUCAUCCCGAGUUUCAUCCUUCCGUAUUGGGUGCUAGUGUUUCGGUAAGUGAAUUGCCUGAUGGUUUACUAAUAUCUAUCUUGCUUGGUGGGGGCGCUAUUAAAUGAAUACUCUUUCUUUGCACUCCUGGGCAUUUGCAUUUUCUCUUUCGUAUCUUGCCACGAGCAUUGGCAACAGGAUAAGAAGCUUUUCAAAGAGAAUACGCAUAAGCAAGAGAAGGAUUAGAACAAGGAUCAGCAGCAGUGCCAAAGUCCGCUGUUCGCCCUAGAGUAAUACGUGAUGAGUCUGUACAUAAAUCUAUAACAAGUGUGACUUCUGGAAAGCUCCUUGUUCGAAAGCUCCUUGUUUACUAUGAUAUAAGGGAAACAACACGAGUUUAUGGCUUAGAGGCAGUAACUCCGUAAGCUUAGAGUCCACCUGUCUUUUCUUUUAGUCAUUCAGAUCUGAUUGUAGGAAAAGAAGUACUUUCUUCGUUGGGAGCUGCAGCUUCUGAUCUUUAUUCAACAGCACUUAGUCUUCUUUUCUUGCGCCUUCUGCGUAAAAGCAGUACACUUAGCGGUAACAAAACACUCUCACUUUCAAAGAAUGGAAUUGAGAAAGGGUGAAUUGAAUAUAAGAUUCACUAGCUUACAAGGGCUGCUACUUACUGCCUACAGCCCGGCGCACAAAGGGAACAAGUCGUUGCUUGAAGUGAAGAGAGCUACCCUGCCUUAUAUAGAUCUAUGGAGCGGGUAACAAAUAACUCUAAACACGUUAGGUUAGCACUUAGGAACAAUACAAGCAAAACAAAGGCUUUCAACAAAGGCUAGUGGUCCGAAAUAGGCGUAAGCCGGUACAGCUUCGUUAGCACUAGGGAACAAGUCAUAUUCUUGGCGUCAAAGCAUUAUCAGAGCAUUUCGGGACGGGAGGCAAGAUGACCGAUUCCUUUUGGAAUAUUAGUUUCCCACGCGACGAAAAAUAGGAUUGAUUGUCUUUACCUUGACCUUGAUUACGGUCUUCCUUAGUGACCUGCUGCUAUUCCUUGAAGGACAUUCCGCUGCUGACUUCCUUGAUCUACUUGUUUCUCUUGGCUUGGCGACUUACCCUGACUUGAAACAGCGGAUUCUGUUUAUACUGCUUUUCUCGUGUCGAUGUCUACUUUCCUUCCGCAUAUCCUACUGCUCCAACAGAUGAUUCGACUCCAACUCGCUUGACCACCUGAGCUUUAGGUUGACUAUCUGGGGCCUCACUUCAGACUCUAACCUCUCUCUGGUCUAUGGCAAAGUGCGUGUUCACUUAUGGAUGUUCACAAAUCUGAUGUUAUAGAAGAGGAUGUGCAGAUGAAUCAAUGGUUAAGGCAGAUGAAUCAAUAGUUAAGAAAGAAUAGGUUGUUAUAGAUAAAGAGGAUAAAGGAUGGUGCACGAAGAAAUGCAUAGUGAAAGUAAGCCUUGGUCUUGCUUGGGGUAAUAUCAUCUUUCCUUUCCUUCCCCUAGGUCCUAGGUUGAAAGUUAGCUGCUCACUCUAUCCUUCUUAUUAUUCGAUGUCUUAAGCUGCAUGUAGCAAAGAGAGAUUGAAGAUUCCAUGUAGUCCCUGAAAAACAGAAGUUAGAGUAGAACGAAAAACUUGGAGUUCCUGUGGUCCGUCCUACUCCAUAUAAUGGAAUAAUAAGGUAUCCUAUUUUUGGAUAGAUAGUAGCCAUGUCUGUAAGAUCUGUCUAUCAAUCAGUCUGUCUGUAAAGUGCUUGCUCCUUGAUGGCUCCAUCUCGGUUGAUUCAAAGUGUUUAGUGAAAAGAUAUGCCCUUGUAAUCUCCAGAUCGGGAUCGGUACACAAUCUUGGUACAGGUGUCUGAGGGGCAACUAAUAAGUCUAUACUUUACCGAGUCGAAAGAGCAGGAAAAGACUCAAUGAAUAGAAUAUCUCUAUAGUUAGUACUCAGUGGUAUAGGGAAGUCGAGAAUAAAGUGGAUAAGGGCGAAUUCCUUACUGUAAGGGUCAAGGUAAAUAAUGGAAUGAAAUAACCUAUUGCCCACGGAACUCCCGAAAACUUGACGGAUUGUUCAGUGCGGUUGAAAGGUGAAGUAGGCUUAGGCUCCUUGUCCACGAGUUCGCGCGGUAGGCUUAUUGUUGCUGGGUGCUUACGCGAGUUCUUUAUUAGUGCUCGAAGUGUACUUGAAUACUUGUUCCAGACGACCAUACCUUGCUUGAAGAAGAGAAUGAAAAUCAGUAACCUUUGCGCUUUUAAGAAGAAUAAUGAAAAUCCAUAGAUAAGUUCAUUGAAUACAUACGAUAGAGAAGAGUAAAAACACUGCUUACUAGAGGAGAAGAGAAUAUUGGGGAACACCCACUAAAUAGAGAAUGGAGUCAAAACCGGAGAAACUCACAUUAGCUAUAGUCUGGCGAAAGAAAAGAACAAGCUGUAAGAGAUGUUAUGACUAUUUGAUAUUAUGUGCGCAUUCAAUUCCAUUCUGUAGUUAGGAACACGCAUCGCCUUGUUUCAUUGAAUCUCACUGUCAUAGUAGAUAAUGUAUUAUUUGAUCUCUCGAAAGUUAUAUCAUAAGUGUUGCGGAACGAAACUCCUUUCCUUAAUCACUGCUUAUCCUAAAAAAUGCAGAAUAUCGGCAUUGCAUAAGAGAAUGUGAGGCACCAGCAUCUUUGACUUGUGCUUAUUGACCCGAACCCUAUACACAUGAGGACAGAGGCAGAGUCACCCCGGAAAGCGGACGUAAGCCAUCGCGGGUUCUAUAAACCCCAAUAAGCUUGUUCUAUAAACUCCAAUAAGCGUUAGCGCAACUAUCCACUCACUAACAAGAUAAGUAUCAUUGAACUCCAGAGUGUGUUUGCUUGUUUCAGUCACUAGCCCCAAACCAAUUCCAUUCAAUCUAGUGCUAAACUAAUAGAAUAGCGUAACCAGGCUGCUUUGCUUAUUCAAAAGAAGGAAGAGAAUGGAGGCUAAAGAAUAGACAGACUUUAGGUGGAGCGCUGUUCAAAAGUUGAUACUUGUUCCCCUGCUUUAAGAAUAGAGAGAAUUCAGAAGUUGUGGGGCAUAAUGAAUUUCCAAUAUAGUGGUUGACUAAACGGAAUCGAAUGGAGCUAUCCAACGACUAUGGAUUUAGCAAGUAAACAAGCAAUGGGCGCAGAGCAAAGGCCUAUUAUUCUAUUCCUUAGAAAAAGGGGUGCGGAGUUAAUAAGUGUCGGUGUUAUCGGGUGUCUACUUGGAUUCUCUUCUAUCAGAGAUGAACUACAGCCAACUUUCCGUCUUCGUGCCGUGCACUCAAUUAGUUAAGUAGUCGAUGAAAAAACUUGUGCACUCAAUUCAGUAAAGUAAUUCGGGGUGCGGGGUGCUUAUUCGUCAGGGGUGCCGAUAUCAAUAAAAUAUUCUAGGGAAGAGUUCGCCCUUGUGUGCGCAUAGGUUGGUGCUUAUAGAAGUUGUAAGUGAGAUUCCAGAGUUUAGGGUUACAAGCAAAUCUACAAGUGAUAGAUAACCAGAAGCAGUUUCUGAAGAAGCAGACAGAUAUUAAUCAGGAGAAGAAUACAGAUCACCAUCAAGGGAACCAGCAAUCGAAGCGCGGGAUUUGGAUCAAAUUAAGCAGGAUAAGAAGCCGUUAGAGCGGGGGAGCCAUAUAGGUCUUUUUUUCCUUUAUUUGAGUUUGAGUAAGCAGUGUUCGGUGUUGGGCAAUAAACAAAUCAUUCAAUGUAAACAACUCGAUCUUCGCAUGGUCGAAAUGCAAGAGCAGCAGUCACUACAACUAAAUGACUCUUCCAAGGACGGUUGUGAUUGAAAGAGCAGAUGACUCAAAAGCAAGAAAUCAGAGAAGAGGCGUCUUCGAGUUUGGAUUGCCAUAACUGAAUCCUCUAGAAGGAUAUAUUAAUGUUAAAGUCAAAGAAAGGUAACUGGACUGAGAUUCUCUUCCAUAGUGAGUAAAGAUCAUACCGAACCUCUUCUAUGUACCUCAAUAAGAAUCCUCCCUCUCGUGAGCUCGUCCCUUCAGUAACUACGAUUUCCUCUGUUCUGUUGUUCAAGGAAAUAAUCUCGUAUCUUCUGGGGUCUUUCAUAAUAGAGUAGAUCAUCCAUGUAUGUAUCCAUAUGCAUAAAUCUUCCGAUCUCUUAUCUUGGUAAUUCAUUCGUACCUAGUUAUUCCUCUGUCAAUAGGACUUAUCUAAUGGAUGCCCAAUCCCCAUAGGAUGAAUAAGAAAAAGGAGGAAUUAAUCCGACCGAGUAUAGGCUUGCGUCUGAUUAGCUAGUUGGUGAGGAGGCAAUAGCUUAGCAAGGCGAUGAUCAGUGACAGGUCUUUUUCGGAUGAUCAGCCAAACUACACUGACUGGGACUGAGACAGGGCCCAUACUCAGGAGGGAGGCAGCAGUUUCGAAUUUGGAUAACAGGGUGAAAGCACUCUUACGACACUGAGACUGAUAGCCGUGGGUGGAGCGAAUGGGAACUUCGAGCGGUGGAGCGAAUGGGAUUAGAUAGCCCGCCCAGUAGUCCUAGCCGUAAACGAUAGAUACUAGGCGCUGUACAUAUCGACCCGACCCGUGCUGUAGCUAACGCCUUAAGUAUCCCGCCUGGGGCGCUGAAAAAGGAAUUGGAUAGGGGGGGCCAAGAUCCAAGAGUAGGUAAUAAUCAAAAAGAGGUUAAUCAUACUGAAAGAAGUAAGUAACAGAGGUUAUAAUACUGAAAGAAGUCACAGAGUAGGUAAUACUGAAAGAAAUCACACCUCCAUCAACUGAAAGAAGUCACAGAGUAGGUAAUACUGAAAGAAGUCAAACCUCCAUACUGAAGUAAGUCACACCUCCAUCAACUGAAGUAAGUCACACCUCUAUAAGUCUACCGGCCUUUAGCUAGUACUUGCUUUCCAGAGUGCUCUUUUUCUCUCCUUCAGACUUGGAUAAGUAGGGAAAUGAGUGAAGUCGUGAUAUCCUUAGGUGUGCAUUGACUGACUCUCUUGCUUUCUAUCUAGUGGUUCACCUCCUUUCUUUUUCUCUAGCUCUAGUAGGUACCGUAGCGGACUUACGCUCUAGUAAGCUAGUCAGUAAGUUAUCUGCUCUAGUAAGCUAGUCAGUAAGUUAUCUGCUUUCUGUUCUGUCUAUUCGCGGCUAAAGUCAGUGGUUUAGUUAGUUGCUUUUUGUGCUUUCUUUCUUCCCCUGCCGUGAGUAAGAGAUCUACUUUUUGUCAGGAAUCUAGUUUCAAGUAGCCUUUCUAGUUUAGGAGUGACGAAGAAUAAAAGGCUGCCAAGACACGCGAAGACAUCGAAAGUAAGAUAACAAACAAAACACUUUAUGAGAGUUGAUUAUGAUAGUUGCCCAAUAACUCCUGGGUCAAGUAACAGGCCCAAAAGAGGAAGUUCUGCCAGUAGAAUACCGAUCCCGAGUUUCAUCUUAUUUAUAUUAUAUGGAAGUAGACCUCGAGCAACAAAUGAUUGUACUGCUGGCUACUCUCCACUGGCAGCUGUCAACUAAUUCUGUAAAGACUACUUUCCAGAGAGGAAGAGUCGAGUUCACCUGAGUUAGGUUAAAGGAAAGUCUCUUAUUGUUGGCGACGAGCGGUGCUAUACGCUAUACUUUACUGCUCUGAAAGGUCGUAAUUAAUUCUUUCAGUUGAUUUCCUCUCCUAUUGGCCGAGUAAUUCAUAGUGUGUGUAUGUGUCAAUUGAGCAAGUCCCUUCUUCGUAGUCGUUGGGAGAAAGAUCUCCACGGUAAGAUGAGAUAGAAGAUUUUCGUAAGUUAUAUCCGGGGGGUCCACUAGUAUAGUUUUGGAAAGCAGGUUUAGGAAAGGCAGUUCUUAGUAAUCAAAGUAACGAAAGUCAUCUUUUUCUUGUAUUCUUAUCUCGUGGUGUAUCUUUAAAGCCUGGCCAAGUAACGGAUAGACGCCAAGGCACUUGUGCCGCGGCAGUGUUGUUUUUGCUACUAACGACCGAGUUUCACCCCUGAGCGCUAAUCCAUCAAGAUCGUAGCUAAGAGAGAUGCUCCCCGGCUAUCCACUUCUCAUAGUAAUAAAGCUCGGUCGGACUGAGACUGAGGGACAUCGAGUUGCCUAAAGGCUGCGUGCCCUCCUCGACUGCGAGACCUACGAUCAGAAAUAAUAUAAGGUUACUAAAUGCUGGAAGUUCCCUUCUUUCAUAACCGGGGGCUGCCAACUCCGCUUAGCCUUUUCACUCAGUUGCCAUUAGUUUAGAUGAAGCUACUUCGGAAUUCAAUCGAAUGGGAACCCUCCCCUAAACAGUUUCUAUGGCUCCUCUCUUCGAGUAGCAUUGACCUUUUCUCGCUAAUAAAUGAGAUAAGGUUCUUUUUCUUAGAUAAGGUUCUUUGGAAAUCAUACAGUCUAUUCGUUCUCUCUUCCUCUUACCUAACUCCCCGAGGGUCGAGUUGCUUUCUUUCUGCUCCAAAGCUUCCUUUCAAUAGGAAAGAGAUAGGAAGACGACGACUCCUAGGACCUAGUAGUUCAAAGGUAUUCUAUACAAGUUUGAAAAUGACCCUGGCACAUCUUCUUUCCUAAAUCAAAUCAAAAGAACUGUUUUCUGGGCCCGUAACAAUGACAAGUAGUCGUGAGUAGUAUGCUUUUAGUUAAUAAAAGAGAAUAAAGGGCUCCUCUGUCUAAUCCCGUAUCUGAUUCAAUGGGAGCUCCUCUUCCUAUUCAAAAGAGAAUAAAGGGUUCCUCUGUCUAAUCCCGUAUCUGAUUCAAUGGGAGCUCCUCUUCCUAUUCUAUCUAAGUCCGAUGAUUCUCCUCAGCUCCUGGUCAUCUCAUUGGUGGGUAGUCUAACCGGUUAAGAGAGGUUGGACUCUUCGCAAAUGCUCAAAGAAGGCAGGCCGGGGGCCAAGCAACUGGACAAGUCACUACUAGACAAGAAAGCCAGUACUCUCUUGAUCUUCGGCCUCACUGAACCUUCUCAAAGACUCCUUUUGCACUGAGACUCCGCACUCUAUGGGUCAAAUAGCACUAGACAUCUUUUUCACUAUCACCGGCACCGGGACGAGACUCGGGUGGGUAUAAUGAAUUCUACUUAAUUCGAGUUGACUUUACAAGCACAGCUCAUUCAGGAGUAUAGUUCACUUUACAAGCACAGCUCAUUCAGGAGUAUAGUUCACUUUACAAGCACAGCUCAUUCUUGAGUCGACAACACUUGAAACCAUACUUAUACUAUAAGUAGUUACAGCCUUAUACACAAGCACUCGCGAACCGCUAACAAGAGCUUAAGAGGGAUAUUCUGCCACGACCUCUAUUUGCAUAACCUAUUCUUCAAAACAGCCGAGACACAGAGAAGGAAUCAGGCUAUACUGCUCAUAAACCCCUAAAAAAGCACUCAUUAGAAAGGGGAAUUCCGCAGAUAGGUAAUAAUGAGCUCCAAUAUAUGAGCUUACUAACUCUUUGUUGCACUACUAAGGAACUGAAAGAAAGGCCUCCUAGACCACUGAAGGAGCAGUAGACGCGGGAGAACCUCUCGUAGCGUAGCCAGUGAUCUCAUGCCCACGUAGCGAUUCAGUCUCAAGUGAGCAGCAAUGAAGUGAAUCCUUAGCUACUUGGAUCCGUUUGUCGACAAGAUCAUAGGUUGGUGCUUAGCUUGCUCCUGCGCUACAAUAUUGGACUGUUUGAUUCGGUGCUUAGGGAGUUGACCUGGCAGCGAUAGAUUCCAUUGAUGUUUGAGUUGAUUUGCCAGUUCACCUUUUGAAUUGAAGAAUAUACAUUCAUAUAGAUAGGUUCAUAUAGAAUGAAGUAAGAGGAGAGUAGACUCCAAAUGAAAGGGAAGCUGCAAGCGAAGCGGGAACGGGAAGGAAAGUGGAGUCUCGUAUGGAAACAGUCAAUAUUGACUCAGUGGCUAAAGGGAUAGUUAAGGGAUGCUGUGUUGAGUAUAGAUUAUGGUAAGAUUACAAACUUAUACACAUACUACGUGAAGCGGUUAAUAAGAAAUGACAUUCUUUCACUAGAAUAGGAGAAUAAGAAGGAUCAAAAAGGCAGGGAAAGCUUUGUCAAGAACAGAAUCAGCAGCAACCACUAAGUCAGCAGCAAUCCAUUCUUCAAGUGUUUGUCGAAAGCCCUUGUGCGCCGAGUAAAUAAUCGGAAAUCCUGGAUUUUGAUUCAUAUCAAAUAUACUAUUAACAGUUAUACCUAAACUCUUUAUAGUAGUUUCCUUAUAGAUUUUCUCUCUUACUUACUAAGAUAGUCGCCGGAGGAAUUGAAUGCUAUAGAUCGUACCCUCUUCCUCUUGCUAUAGACCAAUACUGACUUCAUACUUAUAGAUCGCUAGAUCAUACCUUAUACUUACACGGAUAUUCUGACUUGUCUUAUUUCUUGGAAUGCGCGUAGAGGCGAGGUAAAGUACUUGCUUUUAUGCCCUAUUAGUGGAAUCACGUAUAGAAAGAAGUCAUUACUGAAGAAGAGGUUCAGAUAUUCUGGUUUAGGCGGCCAUCAAGAUGUUAGGAAGAAAAGAAUGAGAAGCGCCAUGAGGCGUAUUCAAUGAAGGAUUGUGCGGGCAAGUGAAAGAAGUUAUCCUCUCUCUACCCUAGCUUUUGUUGGUAACUCCACUUAUAGUACUGCUGUAGCUCUAAGUAAGCCAGACCUUAUCCUGAGUCCCUAGUUGCAUCUGUGUUUGCUACUCUUGAAGCGGAGGUGAAGUUGUCAGCGGAGGAAACUGACUGUGCAGGCUUCGUCGCCACCGGGUAGUCAACUCUAGUAGUGAGUGACUGGAUCGAUCUCUUUUGCCUCUAGUGAAUGACUGGAUCGAUCUCUUUUGCCUCUAGUGAGUGACUGGAUCUAUCUCUGUCUUUUGCCUCUGAUACUGAUCUCAGGUAAGCCAACUACUGAUCUCUGGUAAGCCAACUACUCUAAGUAUAUAGUCAUUGAUUGAAUUGACAUCUGGAUCUGGCUCUUUUCACUCAUUAGUUCUGCUCUCGGUAACAACCAGAAUAGCCUGUUCUUGUUGGAAUCCGUUCUCCUAUAAGAAGAGAAAGAAUCGGUGCUAUAUCUUCUUUGACUUUCUGGGCGAGAAGGAGUAAUGUUUUAGCUUACUUUAUGAUCGAAGCAAUAAGAUAGGGAGUCUUGCAUAGCAGGCCGGUCAUUAUAUAGGUCAUUGACUUUCCCGAGUGUAUGAGUUAGGGUUGCGUGCUUGGAAUUGAACCUUAGUGUGGCGUAGAGAGAAUCAGUGGUAACAGUUCCAAAGUAAGCGAUAAGUGUAGUUCGAACAUAAGAUGGAGCUGGUGAGGAAGCUGUGCUUGCCUACAGUUGCACCACUUACUAAAAGUCAGUCAGUAAGUAUUACCCAUAUUCCGCAUUUAGUAUAUAACACAUAUUACCAAUCUUCUGCAAUUAGGCUUAGGAGACCUAUGACCCAUACUCAUUGCCAACACUGGAACGUACCUUUGAACACCCCUUGUUGUUUCUGAAAUUGGUUAUAGCUUGUUGGUGGGUUCAGUUACCAAUGCUUUAGUGUCAUUAUUAGUCAUAGUGGUUUCAUUCUUUCUUUGAUGCACUGAAUUGCCUUACUGAGUUAGGGGAAAUACCAUUGAAUCUUUGAGAACAAGAGUUUCCUCUUUUCGAACAAUAGUAAUAGGAGCGGAGAAGUCAACUAAUUCGGAUUUCUUACUACCCAAGGUGUUAGUAGCAGUUAGGGAGUGUAGAAUUCCCUGGAAAGCCGGGUUCUCAGUCAACAACUAUUAGUAAACAAAUACAUAUGAAACAGGCAAGGAAGCACUAACUGAGUGAAAAGAGGCUGCCCUUUCUUUUUGACUAUGAAUUGGAAGAAGAAUAAUUGGAAGAAGAAAGUCAGCGCGGAGGGAAUCUAUUCUUCAAGUAGAUUGAAUCUGUAGAGUCAAUUCUUACUUAUUUCAAAGAAGAAGGAUAAGUUGAAAGAUCCGUUUCAUAAUAGAGUACUGGGUUGGAUGCCCUAACACGAGUUUCGGUUGAGAAGGACUCAAAAGCACUCAAUACACUUCCAGAAAGAUGGUAUUCCAGAAAGUAAGGUAUUCCAGCCUAAAACUAUCAAUAUGGGUUUACUGUUAUCAAUAUGGGUUGUGGUAGUAUAAUAGGGCCCAACUGAUGGAGUUGUAAGAGUGUUGUCUCGGUAUCUAGAAUCUUAAAUAAGGAGUUUCGGUCGGGGCAGACAAUAAGAAUCCAAUGGGAUGCAGAAAGCACUGGCAAGGAAGCUCCCGUUAGCACAAGGGCACAAGGGAGAUGAAAUGGAAAUGAAUGAGUUGCACCCGGCGUACCGGAGAGUGAAAACAGUUAAGAUUAAUGGCAAAAAUGCUUAAGAAGUACCAUUUCUUUGUUUAAAUAAAGGAGAUAUAGAUUUCCCCAUAAGAGUAGAAAAGAGCUGCCCUACCGCCAUGAACAAAGGAACAAAAUACAAGUAAAAAAGGGAACUCGUGAUUCCUAGGUCCACUUCAUAUGAGAUAGGUGCAUCUUCAUAGCUUCAAUCUUUGACUGGAAGUAAGCUGGCUGCUUAUUGGCCACGCCUCCUUGCUUAUAUAUAUAUGACUUUACUCGGCCCAAGAUAAUAAGAUCUCCUACUUAUAUAUAUAAUAUAUAGCUCCAUACUAUUCUACCUUGCCAGCUGUUCCAUUCAAUGCAAGACUUAGUGCUUGCUAUGGGUAAGGUAGUUUCUUAGAGUUUACAGAACAAGCAGGUCUGGAAAGGGAAGCUACGUAUUCAAGGUAAGUUACAGAAGUAGAAUAGAAUGCCUUGACCCCAUUGCGCUUAAGACUAAAGUAGGUUCAGCAAUCAUAUUCUGCACUAAAAGUUGAUAGCUUAAAGUAGUCUUUUUCAGGUCGACAAGCCUUAGCCUACUGUUUUCCUUCCUCUGCGCUAAGAUAAGUUGUUGUUUAAAGUAGAGUGAUCGUUGAAUCCGUGUUUGGAAGCUCAUCUCUUUUGCCCACUAAACUAUGCGGUUAAGCAGUGAAGUGUCCAUCUUUUUUCUUGUGUUGUCUCCGAUAUAAGCCGAAUGCAAGUAAUGGGAGCUUUGUUACUUACUGCUUUCUAUAGGUGGAACCAAAUCCUUAUUGGUUGUUACCUGAGAGCUAACAGUAUUGAGUUUAUCCCUGAGGAGCUAACAGUAUUGAGUUUAUACCCGAGAGUCCGUAGUGAGCGGUUAAGAAAAAGUGGAGUUCUUGUGUCAUUGUACGCGAGAUCAGAAGCAAGAGUAAGGAUCCGUUCAAUAAAAAAGUAAGAGCGCAAAGUCGACCAAAGAAUCAGCUCCGUUCUUGGGGUUUGACAUACAGCCUUUCAAGAGUGGUUACGGUAAGACCUCUGGCUUUCCUUUCACUGUAGCAUGAUCCGACUCUGUUAUGGCAAGUGAAAGCGUAAGCAGCAAAUACCUUCUGUGAUUUCUACUAUAAGUGGUUAAUGAAACUUUAUUAAUUGCCAUAGGAUGAUUAUACCGAUAGCCAACUCCCCUUCUUCCCUUUUAUAUAUUUGAUCGAUUUAUUCUCGAACUAAGACUAACGCCUUUUAUAGACUUUCAAACUUCCCAAAAUGAACGAGAAAUCUAAAGUUAUUGAUUGAAAAACACUGAGAUGGAGAGGAAAGAGAAACAAUGUAAGAGAGAGAGAGAGAGAUAUACAAUAUCAGAAAACUCCACACCGCAAUCCAAGGUGCUUGAGGGUAAGGGGGGAACAACUAUCUAUGCGUCCCUUCUGCUUCUGUUAAAGAAUCGAUGCCUAUUGUCAUCAAUAGAAAAAUAUAGAGAAAGAGAAAGAGAAGUGAGCGCAUCAAAAGGAAAGAGAAAAAGCGUUAGCGAGGUUGUAGCCGAGUGUUGUCUACUCAAUUGGGUGGGCGCUUGUCUGCUUGUUGAGGAGUAGCUUGGCGAGUCAAUUGAUAAACGACUUAUCUGUCAACUCCCCUUAUAUAAGUACUCAGUACAGAGCAUUCCCCACUAAAUGAAUUCUGAUAUAAGUCUAUAAAUCUUUACUUACCAACUUACCACUGUUUUUCUUACGAUGACAACUCAGUACCUGGACUGCUAAUGACUAAGCUUAGGCGGCUGUAAGUAUAUUAAUAGGGCUUUCCCCUUGUAAUAGAGUUUAGGUCGGGUAUCUGAAAAGGUGUGAAAUCAGCUCUUAUUGUAAGUUCCCUUAUAGUAAGUGUGUUGGCUAAAGUCCUGUAGUGGUAAAGUUUCAUCAGUAGUAGUAAGAGGAGAGAGAGGCGAGGAAGCUAUAAGUAAAGAAGUGUGUUCGGGUGCUCGGAGACUUUACUGAUGGAUAAAGAGUACAGCUACGACUUCCCAGACUUCAACUUAUAUAAUAGCUAGAAUAGGAGCUUGUUACGAAAUAGCUAAACUUUAGUAUGAAUGCGCGGGGGAGCGAUGGUAGAAGAAAACCACAGCUUCUAAGGCGGAUAACUACAACUGGCAAGGAUCGAACUACUUAUAGAAAGAAUUGGACUCGUAAUACAGGAUAUAGGUACUGCUUCUCAUACCUUAACCACUAAUAUAGGAAACAACCGACUUAGUGGAAUAUAAGAAACAACCGACCUAUGGGAGACCGAUACUGCUCCUAGCAAGACCAAGAAACUGCCCUAACAAACAAGAGUAGAACUAGGGCUACCGAUACCUUAACUCAAAACUAAGGCUUCAAUGAUGUCCAACAACUCUUGCUUUACUCACUUACAAGCCCAUGUCUCUGCCUGUUAGUCUGCCUAUCCUGAUUUGAUUUCUAAGACCCCGGAGCCAGAUCCUCACUUGUUUGCUUUUAAACUAGCACCACUAGGAGCAAGAGCUAAACCCAUGCUAACAGGAAUCUACUCCUAUUCUGAUAGAUUGGAAACUUUACAAUGGACUAAAACUAGUGCUCCCAACAAUCAAACUCAAAACUAAGAAUACACCUACAGCAAACAAGACUUAUACCACUUACUAGUAAUUCCACUUAUAAUUUAGAAGACUUUACUGCACUAACGAAUUCAAAUAAUAAGAAAAAGCUAGUCAAAGGAAAAGUGAGAGACUUAAACACUAACUAAUGGAUUGAACUCGACAAGCAAAUACUAGGCCUUAUGCUCUUAUAAACUACUAGGCCCUAUGCUCUCAUCUUAGUCUUAUCUCUUCUAUACUGAUAUACAGAGCCAAGCCGGACUUAGUUAGCUUCAUCCUUACUAUACUGUAUCCAGCUCUGCCUUUACUGUCCCUUACACUUCUGUUACUUACCCGAGUCCCUACUCUCUAUUGUUUUAGUAUUCCUUUCCCGGCUAUAACUUUCACUUUGCAGUCUAGUAUCCUGGCUUUACAGCUUAUCUGCCUUACUAUGCUUACUUUUAUUCUACAAAACGACUAUCCCCGGGCCUCACUUUACUGCAUCUAAGGCUUUACUUAUAUUCCACAAAUAUCUCAUUCUUUGGCUCCUCGUUUUCAAGCUAAAACCAUUGCUUAUAAGCCUACCUUGAAAACUUGAUAUCUCUGCCUUUAAGUCUAGUGGUUUCUCAUUCCCCCAACCCCCUUGCUAUUGAGUUGAGAAGCCCCACUUUUUAGUUAGAGUAUGCCUAUCUUGCCUUUCACUCUUAGUUUACUGUCUUUUAUCCUUAGUAAAUGGGUGAGUAUGGUGUAUACUGAAGAACCGAACUACUGAUAACAAUAAUCGAUACCGGCUAUUAUUCUUUAACCGAUGCCUUCGAACCUUGCUUUUCAUUCUCUAGCUACUGAUUCGGAUCUCUGCUUUACUAGCCAGAAAACUAACACUCAGGCCCGUGAGCCUGUGACUACUAACAAUAAGACUGACUCCACUUCCUCUGAUACUUGAACUAGGAACUCGGACUUUGACUACUAUCAAAAGAACUUAACUCGGAACUCGGGCUUGCUUUUCCUACUUUCAUUCUAUCACUAAUUACCUCGAAGCUGACCUGAACGCCUCUGAGUCUCUCCCCGGGGCCCCGAGCUAUAACUCUUACAGUGUUAGCUUCUCCGGCCUGUCACUACUGAAUCUAAGGCUUAGCGCUAUACCUUUGAUUCUGACUACCCCGUUGCUAGCCUUGCUUCACCGCCUAUGAUCCUUACUUGAGACUUUCGACCUUGGACUCGUUCUUUCAACGCUUGUCCUGUAGCCUUACUUUCCCACCGGCGAGUGUUAACCCGGGCACCCAUUUCUUCUCAGUUCGACAUUCCUUACUUGCUUUCUUCAAUUGCGGAUUUAGAUCCUUGCUUGUUCGUUGAAGUAUUCCUAUCCUGGGUAUUGUUGUCUUAGAUAGCUAACUAUCUGACUAAUAGUGAUAUAGUAGUGAUAAGAGGAUGGCUUAUCCGGAAAUAGACUGAUACUUAUAAUAGUAAGUACCGGAAAUAGACUGAUAAUAGUAAGCAGAAGAGCUAAGUCACAGACCUAAACACAUAAGCAAGUAGGCCAACACACAAGACAGCCUCCCUUUAUUGACUCUCAAACGGAGAUUACUGCCUGCCUUGUCUUGCUUUCAACUCAUAACAAAACAAAGCACCUAGUUGCAGAAUCAAAGAAAGGUUUUAGUAAGAAAGAAUCAGAGCGAGGAAGGAAGAGGGAGACUCACUGGUAUGUGUGAAAAUAAAGGAUCUGGAUCGUUAGUUAAAGAAUAUAAGGGGAGCGAUAGGGAUUUGCAGUUAUAAAGAAUAAUUAUAGGUAGAGUUCUGAAAGAUCAGUUUGGAGGGUUAGUUCGUUAAGGUCAGUUGAGAGUGGCCGUUUAUGCCUACAACUAAAGAUGUUAGGUCAGUAGUUACAGAAAGAAAGACAGGAAUAGCAAUACUUUAGAUCGGGUUUGGUAGCCUUAGAAGAGCUUCAGUGUCAGUCUGAAUUCCGAGCCCUGCGCGUACUAGGUUGAGUUUGAUUCCCAAGUGCAAUGCUUCCUAUCAGUAGGUUUCUUCUUUUUCUCAUUAGUUCAAGUCAUUAGGCAGUGUUCGAUUCACUAUUUCUACAUUGAUUCUUUGUUUGACUCUUUUACUUGCUUUCGCCGAUCGAUCCUUUUGCUACCUAAUUAGAUUAUGCAAUCAAUGUCCUUAGUUCUAUUACUUUGUGGUUGGAUUCGAUGUAAACCUUGUUAGUAUCGGUUGAAGUCUCGGAAACAGUAGUUCCAGUAUUGCCAGCAGCGAUCCAAUUCUUAUAAGCAGCAGUGGCAGCCCUAUGCCUAUUAGCCCGGGAGCCUAUUCAAUCUUAUCUGGUAGGUAGUCAAUAGAGAAAGAGAACUUAGUACUAGUAGCAGUCCUGUUAGCGGAGUAGCUCUAGUAUGUUUUCCAGUAGUUCCGUUCAUGUGGGGGCAGUGUUCAAGUCUGUAUCGGUAUAGGGUAUUUGUCUUAGAAGCAGCAGUCAGAGUCUUCUUUUUAUGCUAAUAGGUUAGAUUCCCUACUAUAGAACCAAACAAAGCAAAGUUCUCAUUUUCAGGAUUCCCUUUGUUGGGAGCACCCCAGAUUCUUUUGUUUGAUUUUUAGGCUUACUUUUCUGCUUCUAAUACUUUAGAUAGAAACCAUUGUUAUAGGGAAGGAACCGAUCUCAGUUUGACCUUACUCUCUUUUCAGUCUAUACUAUUCUAGAAAUGGGAACAGGAAUGGAGCACCAAUAAGUGAGGGAAGAAAUUCCAUACCUAUAAGAAUUUAGCGCUAGGGCAUAACGGAAUGGGGCUAUCGACAAGCAACCUUUCACUACAGCUGGAAAGAGUUCCGCUCGGGAAUCAGAAAACGACUCCUCUAUUGGAAUGCCCUUAUUACUACUAUGAGAAUUGUGGACUGUGUUGAGGUGACAGGACCAUAGCUUAGAGACAAGGCUUUCAUUACCACUAAUAAGGCCGCUGAUGAGACUGUUUCUAUACAAGAUAUUAGCCGGCUCCUGCCUCUUUGAAAACCCUAGCUCGGAACUCGGAGGCUAACUCACUUGGUUUAGUAUGCCCUUCCCUUCUCUUAGUACGGAUCGGAUCGCGCUAGUGCCUAUUCUCCUGGUUGAGUCUACCUUUCCUUACAAACAUUCUAUCAUAUGAGAUUUUCUACUUGUUCAAGGAUUCUCUUAUUUCUGUAUUUGCUUGUUGAAACAUUAUCUUAUAUUAUCUUAAUCUUAUAUUAUCUUAAUAAGGGUAGUUUCUAUUCUUAGAGGUAGUAAAGCAAGCCAGUAGUUAGUGUUCCAUCUUUAUUAGUUGCAGUUCGACUCUUGCUAGCAGUGAUCUCAUUCUGUAUGGGAGGUUUUAUUGCUUGUAAGUAAGAUUGGAUUCCGUUAGGGGCAGGCUUCCUAGUCAACAUCAUAAGCAAGAUGCUAGAUCAGAGGACAGUAAUGUAAUACUAAACUAACGAGUAACGGUCGGUUGAUUUCUGUUAUUCAAAUAGAAUGACCUCGUUUAGGCACUUAGGGCAUCUGACUUUAGAGAUGACUUCUGACUUUUCCUAUAUUAUGGAGCAUCUGUUAAAGAUGAAAAGAGAAUCAUGGAACUAGUACAUAAGGUAUUAAUUCAAGCACCGAUAGAAACUCCGGCCAUAAUCAAGCUUCGACGAGAGCAAAAGGUUUUCUCUCAUAAGAUAACGUGGAUGUCAAGGAUUAGGACUGGUCUGACACUGACAGCAAUCGAAGGGCAGGGAACUGAACCAUACUUAGCCACUUCCCAUCUAUCUUAAUGAAUAAUUCAGAAUCCCCGGGUGAACCAGCAUUCGCAAGCGAACAACAAAAAAGUCCACCUGUGCUCAUAGAGGGGAGAGACUUUUAGAGACCGAGCCAAUAACUCGGGCCCCUCUAAUAGAAGUGGAAUCCUUGGCUUAGGCUUAUGCAGCCGCUUUCUUUGCCUUACAUCUUACAACUUUACGGUAGCCAGCUAUAUGGAUUUCCAAAGUGUUCUUUUACAUUGUUUUCUCAUCACGGAAUCCAAUUCUCUGCCCCACGGGAGUAGUUCUCGGACUUACCCUUAAGGAAUACGAAAACAACUUCCUUUUUCACCUUCCCAUCAUGGGUCUUCCCAAUCCCACAAACUAGGCGCGGGUAGGUUCGCUUAUUCUUGUUUUGAAAUGCGUAAACUCCAACCACCUUACUUUAUACUUGACUAAGCGCUUUAAGUGCAGUAAAUAAUCAUCUUAUCCCGUCCAUUCAUUGCAGGAGGAGUGAAAAGAGGGAACCCCUUGAGCGUAGGUAAUUCCAGCAUUUGAGCAUAUUUGGAAGAAGAAUAGAUCCGGUACUUUUCGUACUCCCUCUGGUAAGCAAUCGUGAGUGAAACCUAAGGAUUGGACUAAGCACUCUUUUAAGGUAAGGUAACAUAGUGGAUUGUUGCGCUAACCGAGUUCCUUCGUUUUGCACAAGUAAGUAAGUGCCUGCACCUUCAAGGAACUGAACCUACGACUUAGACCACACACUUAAGUAUAGUAUCCAUGAGCUUAGGAGCAAGAAGAGGCUCAAGAAUCAAAAACAUGUAUGAAUAUUGUUUCUCGGGGCGCCUCAAUUCUAUGAUUUGAAACUCUAGCAAGGCCUAAAUUCCAUGAUUGGAUUUUGCCGACCCCGACUUGAAUUGCUGCUUCCUUUCGCCUUAACCUCAGCAUGAGAUUCGAGAGAGAAAAGAUCAGAUUCGGCUGAGGCUUCUUAUUCUAUAUAGUAUUCCAGUAAAACACCCUAACUAGACUUUCCGGGUUCGUCAAGAAUUCACCGUGCUGUAGCAAUGAAAACUGGAAUGGAAUCUCUCGCUGUUAGGUCAACUCUAAACUCCCUUAGCGCCAGAAACAGUCAAUUCUUCUGCUUACUUGAUAACUCUAAACUCUUAUAUUUGAGAAUCAUUUCAAUCAAUCAAUCUUACCUAGGCGGGGGGACAAGAAUCAUUCUGGAUCUGAAUUUCCUGCUUCAUCUACUGAUCUGGUUUACUUAAAAGAACGUAACCAUUCUUUCGAACAGAACUCCUUGAUAUUGCUGGAUCUGCCCUGAACCCUGACUUUUCCUUCGCCUAAGUUUGACCAGUGGGGCAGGCCUAGACUUGAAGUACAGUACGGACUUCUUGUCCCGGAGAAGGAAAGGUGCUAAGAGCCUGAUUGUCCCGACGAUAACACUCCCCUUUUUGAACCUCUCUUCUCUAUACGACAAGGAGCUAGAGCACUAACCUAUCUCUACUCGGGAAAGCAGAAACAGUACCUUUGACCUCAGACAUUCAUCUAAAGACUCUUGACUCUUAUACUUAUGUACCAAUACUUACUUCAGAUUUCUCGGUGUUGGGCAGAGAGUCACGCAGGGCGAAAAAGGAAAAGUGUUUCACUCCAGCCACAAUAACGGAACUUCCCGCUUCUUAUUCAUAUUCUUUCUUAUUACUUCCUCACCUGGAACUUGAACUGGCAAUUCUCAACUGUCAACAGGAACUGGCACCACUGAGAGUUUCAUCCGUUCUCCUAUAAUAUAAUAUAAUCGAAAUGGAAAGGGUUUUCUUAUACUUAGUGUCUACUGAGUCGGUAUUGCUACUGUUGCUAAGGAGUCAAAUAAAGACUUGUUGCUACUAUAUGCCUACUGUUGCUGCUGCUAAAGAAAUAUUGCUAAUGUUGCUAUAGCUACUACUUAUUGCUUUACUGCGACUGUUGCUAAGGCUUAUUAUACUUAUUGCUACUUUCGAGUCGAGCACAUCGAAUCUUUUUGCUCCUCCAACUCUUUCUUGCUUCGGUAUCAAAGCCAGUCCUGUGCCCUAAAUUCAUGUCCCUCUUGCUAAUUCUUAUGUUUCUUAUCUGUCAACUGCCUCUGAGAAUGCCUCCACAGCCUCUGCUUGAGUUGUAGCUUGGCCUCUAUUCUUUUGGUAGGCGAGAAGGAUCACUAGCACUACUUAUAUGACUAGCUUUAGCUCUUUAUCUCAAGUAUUCAAGUGUGAAUUGAACUCACUGGAGCAAGAAACCCCGUACUUUGACCUUAAGAAUGGAAUUGAAAGACAUAGCUCGGAAAGGUACUCUCAAUCUUGGUUUACAGCCCUUUGCCCUGGUAUCCUCUAGCUUUAGUAGCAUGUGUGAGUUAAGUGGGUAAUAUGCUUGUGAUUCUGAAAAGCAAUGUUACGAUGAGUUAACCCGACACGGGUUUUGGUGAAUGAGCAUAAGUGGAAGUCGAGGAGAGGAAGUAUUUGUUUACCCAGGAAAAGAGGUCGGCCAAGUAGGAAAAUGAGAAUGAAAGUAAGUGACUUGGCUCGUUGCUUGGCCACUCCCUAAUAGUUGAGAUUCCUCUUUGGGCUGUUAUUUGUCUCGGGGUGCCCAGGUAUCGUCUCCACCGUAAGCCUUUCCUUAGCCAUAGAUAAUAUGUUCCACUCAUGUAAGCCAACUAGAAACAAACCAUAUUACACACAGGAGCAAGUCAUCACAUCAAGUGAAAGGACUGGGCGCUGAAGAACCCUAUAAUCCAACUAAGCACAGACCAAUCUGUUGACGUUACCAACAAGAGUAUAUUAAUUAGUUCCACAAACUCCAAUAAACGUGAGCACCAUGAAACAAUAAUCCGUUUGCUUCCUUCUAGCCCUUGCUUAAAGAUACAGUACCUCACUUGCGGAUCUGCUUUAUGGUGGAAUUGCAUUUCCGAAUCUAUCUUCUAAUUACCCACUUAGAUAAAAAACACUAGCUUAACGGCCACUGUAUUCAGUAAAGUGAAACAGUCAAAUGAGUCAUGAAGAUUGCUUGGUCUAUCUAUCUCACCUAAAAUUCACCGUGCUGUAAAAAAGGUAGGCACUGUGAUGGGAUUUGUUAUUAGCAUAGUGGACCAAGGUUUGAAACGCGGCAAAGGUCUCUGUGUUAGGAGUGCAAAGGUGUUGAUGCAGCUGCAAGAACUAGUCCAGUUGCGGCGUCUUCAAGUGAAGUGGAAGUAGGUGAUUAUGAUGCUUGUAUCUAAGGCUUACGCUCGGUCAGUUCCAGUUCUGGUUUGAGUUUCAUCCGUUACAUAAGCCGAAUACAGAUCGGAAGAAAGAUCUUCAUCAGCUGCCCUUAAGUAAUUGGUUGACCUGACAGCAAGAGAUUCAAUGACUGGUUGACUUGCGAGUCAGGGCAAAGCGUAUACUAGUCAGAGGCUGGAGCCAUGUAUAGUAAGGAAGUAGAGUUCAGUUCGCCUAGUGCGAGGCUUAGUGCUUUUGUUGUCAAGAGAAUCUCCGUCCUUUCUUCGUAAGCGGUAGGAGCCAGUGUGGUCUCUGAGUCCUGUGUUCAUGCCGCUGACCCUAAACCACGAAAAAAGGGCUCAUUCCCUCGUAUAUCUCAUGUAGCUCGCAUAGCCAAAGUAGUCACUAAACAAAGGCCUUGAUUUAGUUUGCACCCAGUACCACGAAACUCUAAUCAGAGCAAUCUUACUAAGUUCAAACUUCCCUACAUCAAAAGCUGUCUCGCGGGGAGACUUUGUAUUGAUUGAUACUAGUUCUACCCCAAGCCAAAUCACUUUACAAGAAAAGGCUAUGAGAUCAGCUCCGCUCUAAUAGACACUUAGCUUUGCAAAUAACACUAAGGCGGGAUGGGAUGGAUUGCAGCUGGGUUGAUAAGCCGGGAUUCAAUAUAGAGUUCAUGCCGAAGGGUCAAAUUACGACAAGAAGAGUUCCAUAGCCUGCUAAAAAAAGAAAGCACGCCGCUACGCUACUCUACCUUUAAGAGAGACUUGUUAUAGGGUGGCUGGCAGUCAUACGCUCCGUUUUUCCAGUUAGUGGCGGCCGAUUCCUAGUGUUACAUGGAUCUUCCUUGUAUCUCAGCGGUUGCGUAUAUAUAAGAUGGAGCCUAAACCUUGGUGUGCAUGAUGAAGUAAUCUCUUCCUCUAAUCACGAGGCCACAUGGACUGUACCCGGGAUUGAUUGAUUCCCGUUAUAUGCAUUGGUUGCUGCGCUGCUAACUACCGACCCCGAAAUGGAAUAUAGAAAGAGAAAUGAUUCGUCUUGCUUAUUUGCUUUAUCAUUGAAUUGAGUGCGAUGCGUGGUAAGACUGAACCUCCCAUUGCUCUAUCUCCGAUAGCAUGCAGUCGAUAAUGAAAAUAGAUAGAUAGAUAUAUAUAAAGUGUGCUGCGAGAGAUCUCUCUAGGUAACCAGUCUUUACUUCACUAGGUAACCAGUCUUUACUUCACUCUUUAUCCUCGGCGAAUCGACACUCUUUUAACAAGCAAGGAAUCUGAAUUAUAUCUGACGAGUCUCUAAGCAAUAUAGGUUUGGAAAAGCCAGCGCCCAAAGGAUUGAAGCCGGUCAAUGUCUGGUAGAGUAGGAACCUAUAGCUUACGGAAAAAGGCCUCGUUUGCUCAGAAAGUCCGCUGUCUUCCUUAUCCUGAAUCAAAUGGGCUUAACUAGAAAAGAUGGAUUGCCUGGAUCAAGAAAGCUCUUCCCAUAGUGCCUUAGGCCGGUCCCGGAGGCUAAGAUCGACUCUGCUUCUGAGAGCCUUAUUUAUUAUUCAUUGAGUCGCCAAGUCGGUAGCCUUUUCUUCCACUCUUGGGAUAAGGGGGCAGAUGGAAUUUAUACUCUUUCCCGAUCGGAGUCCAGACGUCUUUGUUGUCGUAUAGAAAGUAAUAAGCUUCAAUAAGAGUCGAGUUAACCUUCCUCACUCUCAAGUCCUAUUAGAUAGGCACACCCCGAUCGAAAGAGGGUAGGGUAUUCUGAAUACAGUCCAAGAGGGAUUAGAAUUAUCUACAAGGGCCAAGUCUCGAAAUGAAGAUGCAAAUGGACCACUCCUUUGACUUGUGUCUGCUUGGUCAGUUUCAAACAUUCCUACUUUCAUUAUCUCUUAUUAGGUAGGAUAACAGAUUCCACUCAGGAUUCAGCUGGGGAUGAAACUACUCAUGAAUAUAGUAAGGGUACGAUCUGCUGACUUCGAUCCGUUACUCGCUGAACUACUCCACACCUGCUCCCCACAAAACAGGACUUGAACUUGUAGAAGCACACCCGACCUAUACAUGAAGGGUGAAGACUUCUAGAUGCAGGGCAGCUCCUGUGUUGAGCAAGUCGUUAGUAGUUACUUGCCCAGUGUCUUGGCCACUAUCAAAUUCUAUCUCUUCUUAUUAAGUAAGGAUAGCGUUGAGAAAGAUCUUCUGCCGGGCCCCAGGUGUUAAGAAUACAGAUCAGGUAUCGGCUUUGUUUGAGGCUCGGGUAGUUGUUGAAGGAAGUUACUAGGCCUGCAUCUAGACUAGUGGAAUACCGAGUAGCAAGAGUAGCGAGAGGUGCGAGUGAAGUCGUACAAAAUAGGGCAGUCAAUAAUUGAACUCAGUAGCCAAACUCAGUAGCAAGAGCAAGAGGAUAGAGAUUUGCUGUUGGGGCUGAGGUAAGGUUAUACUAUAACUCGCAUUUAAGUGAAAAGAGAAAAACAACUUGCAUUUCCACUGUACACACACUGUAGACGGGAGAAGGUAGGGAAUUUGCCAUCAAACUAAAUCCGUUAUGUUAUAGUGAAAUUUCGCCUAACAUCUUUAGGGUUCCCCUCUGGAUGGUUCCUUUGCCUUAAGAGCGAGCUGGACUUGAAACUGGAUACUUCUCUUCCACUGGAACUGCUCCUGCUGAAGAUCUUGAAACUUACACUUAUUAUCUGGCUUCUGCAGCUUACUCCACGAAAGCACUCUACGAAUACAGGUUCACUCAGGAAUUUACAUAACUUUGUUAUGACGGCAGCUAGGGUAUUUCCGCAAAGCCAGUACUUUAUGAUUGGAUUUUUCCGACCUAAACAAUAAAGUGAUUAUUUCGAUAAGUCAAACAGAGUAUAGAAACUUGUAAGGACUCAGACACUCUAAAGCCACCCAAAGACAAAGACGAAAUUCAUGAAGAACUGAAAGGAGAGGUCAGGCCAGAUGUUGUGCUAAGUUGAGUUGCGCUUAAGGGUCAGUGAGUUACUGUUGUGCUAACGAAACAGUACAGUACAGGAGCAAGAGAGAUUCUAUUAAUGUUUGCGAGAGGAGCUGACUUGUGCGUAAGGAGUUUCGAGCUUGAUUACAUUCCAAAUAUAUGUAUGGUCGGGUGAGAGAGAUUAUUGGAAUUCGAAUGGCUCUUACUUGGAAAGAAGCCCUCUUUUCUUCAGCAGUAAAGUCAGCAGCAAGCGCGGGAAGUAAAGGAAAGGAGAAGGAAAAGAAAGUAGGCAAGCAACAAUAGGUUCAGAAAGAAAGUAGAGUUCGGGUCCCCGGGUGUUGGAUCUUCAACUAUAUAAGUAUAUUCAGCUGUGAGAAAGUCUGCUGCAAGUGAUAAGGAAGCUGAAAGUGCGUUGUCUACAAGAAAGGUUAUUAGGCUCUAAGUCAGUAUAGAGAGGUUCGGCGGUAAGAGAAUCCGCAUCAGCUAUGCUUAAGUCUAAAAGAGAAAGAAGCGGGAGACAGAUCUUCCACUGACCCUGCUCUGGAUCUUUAAACGGAUCUUUCCACUAUCAAAACGGACCUUUCUGACCCGAUUGCAGCUGAAGAAGUAAUUGAGGCAUAAUUCCCUGACAUAUAGAAUGUCGGCACCACGAGUUGGUUUCAUCAUUUAGGGUAGGGGACUCCUUUGAACUAAAAGCUUCUUCCUACUUAAGCGUCUUAGCCUUCAGUGCCCAGGGAUCUACCGCGAAGGUUAGAUUCCAUUAAAAGGUAGGUAAUCGAGGCCUAGACCUAUUGCAGGUGAGCCAGCCCCUAUACCGUACAUCUAUAUCAGCACCCAUCGAAAAGAAAGAGGAAGCCGCAGUGGCACAAGUGGUAGGCUUAGAUCUGUCUUUGAAGAUGCUUAUUACCUUUUGAGUUAUGUAUCAUCGGAUUCCUACUUGGAAGAAAGAGUCUUGUAGCUGAUGAAAAACUGGAUCUUGCAGGGGGUGCGAACUCGUAGCUAACGUCGUUGGUUGUCUAAAUAUCUCCCCCCAAAAACUUAAUGAAAUGGAUUUUCGCCCUUAUACAUACUUGGAAUUCCUCAUUGACUUUCUUGCAUCUGUAACUGCUGUUGAAACACAUUUGAGCCCUGUUUACCCCUUGACUGUACACACCCUUGCGCCAAGACCUGAUCUUUCUACAAUAACUAGACUUCUUCAAGAAAACUCUUUUGAAACUAAUAAGGAUCUUUCUUGUGCUGAAGCAGAAGCGGAAGAGAACUCCGUUAGCGCAGAUCAGUUCGAAACUCCCUUAGCGCAACUAAACUAGUUCAAUUCAAAAGGGAAGGAAGCCGGUAAGAAUCUAUCUCCACCCUAUUAUAUACUAUACUAUAUUAUCUUAUUCUUCUUAUGUAUAUACUAGACUAUAUUAUCUUAUUCUUCUUAUGCCUUCCAUACGAGACUCCACUUGCUUCUUUAUAUUAUAUGGUUCGGUACUCAAUAAUUUGCUGUGCUUGUAAAGUACACUAUAUCUGAUCUUUUCUCAAGCCCACGUAGGGAGAAAGUGGAAAGAUAACCGUAUCACUUAUCCAUCGGUAAAGUUGAAGACGUAGAAAUCAUCCUGUAUAGUAUGGAAUAUGAGUGCGGAUGUCGAGAAAACAUAUAUUGUAAUAAUGGGCUGUCCCCUUGCCUAUCUAUAUCUCAUAAGAAUGCACCCACACCUAGAUCUCAUAAGAAUGCACCUAAACUAAACCUAGAAACUCCCUUAGCACAUAGGUUAUACUACAGUAGGAGUCUGCUUGGAAACCAGCAGCGUUGACUUUAUCAAUAAAGAAAGUGUGCAGUCCACUCUCCUCUUUAGUUCAAU
Molecule: long non-coding RNA, 24813 nt
Filed under: Musa acuminata (dwarf banana)
Lineage: Eukaryota; Viridiplantae; Streptophyta; Magnoliopsida; Zingiberales; Musaceae
Description: long non-coding RNA (MACU_LNC007446)
Rfam family: Bacterial small subunit ribosomal RNA (bases 4383-4929)
Source: RNAcentral